Molecule: long non-coding RNA, 1488 nt
Filed under: Homo sapiens (human)
Lineage: Eukaryota; Metazoa; Chordata; Mammalia; Primates; Hominidae
Description: HSALNT0137360
Source: RNAcentral
CUCUGAGGGAUUUCAUUGGGUUACGGUUGCCAGGGAAACCAUUUGACUUGGUAAUCAAUAUGUUCAGUAUGUCUCUGUUGCUGUGUGCUUAAUUCCUACUGAUACCAUUGCAGAGUGGAUCCAUGGAAAACACUGGGUAGGAAAAAAAGAAAACCUUGAAAUAUUAGCUUCAAUGAAGGAAAAUCUGGAUAACUUAUUCUUAUGAAUCUGAAACAAUUUAAGAAAACAAAUGACUGCUUGAUUUUUGUGCCAAUUGAAUAGAAUGGGAUUCAAUUUUUAAUAGCAAGUUGGCAUGGCUAAGUAAGGUCCCUGGGAUUCUCUUGCAAUGCCGUGAAAGCAAAAGGACAGCUCUCCUAACAAGAAGCCAAGAUUGCUACAGGAGGCUGAGGAGAGGAAAAAGCCCUUUUCUCAUCACCAUUGAUUCCUUCAGUCUCCAUGAUUUCCUCUCAAGAACUGCCAUUUGUUGCUGUAGAUGGCCCAGUUGCAGACGUGCCUGAGUUCAGCAUAGUGUUGAGGAGAAUCCCAGAGAUCUGAAUCCCAGGAGAAGUCAGCCCAUCCUGCUGUUCGUGGGAAUCUAUAAAGGAGGUGCACAAAGCUCCAGUUGCCCCUGAUUUGAGAGAUGUCUCCAGAGCAGCACUUGUUCCUGGUGCUGCAGAUGCUGCGGGUCCAGGGAUCACACUUUGAGAACCACUAGUCUGGUGCAAGAUUCUUGGCAACAGACAAUAUCUUAUACAAGGGUGGUAAGCUGUGCAGGUGAAGGGAAGUAAACAGAUUUGUUAUACAUUUUGAGGGUAAAGCUAAUAGAAUUUACUUAGCAAUGUGAUGUGAGAAUAGUGAAAAAAAAAAAAGAAAAAAGAAAUGGAUAGCUCCCUAAAUUGGACUUGAUUGAAAGGGGAAUGGCAGUGCCAAUCACUGAUAUAGGGAAGAUGGCAGGGGGAUGGUAUACGCUGGGAAGUUAAAUCAAGAAGUUGGUGUUUGUUGUUGUUGCUUGUUUAUUUAAUUUUGGUUUUAAGUUAGAUGAGUAGAGAUAACAAGCAGAGGGUGGGUUUAAUAUGUCUCCAACUCAGGUGAGACGCUGGAGCCAAAGAUACAAAUGUGUAAGUCAUCAGCAUACAAAUGAGACUGAAUGAGAAAAUAGGAAAAAUAAAGCAGAGCAGAAAAAUGCACUCCAAUGCAAGCUCUCCAGCUCUCCACUGUUUUUAGAGUUUGACAGAAGAGUGCAAAGGAAGCUGAGAAACAGCAGCCAGCAGAGCAGGAGGGACACAAGAUUGUGGCGUCAGACAAUGCAAGCAGGGAGGAAAGUGAGCCCAGGGAGGAAGUGCGCGAUGCCAAAUGCUGCUGCAAAUCGAGGAAGUCGAGAGUUGAGAAAUGUCUAUGGUAUAUGGCAAUACGAGGGGCGCUGGUCACCCUGACAAGGGUAGUUUCAAUGACCAGAAGUGUCAGAAGCUUGACUGUAGCAAAUUGAGAAGUGAAAGGGACAGGAGAAAG